AUGGUGGACAAGAGGAGCAGGAGGGGAGGUGCGGAGGCAGGGCCAUAUGCGUCAGACGCGCGCAUUCGCCCACAGUCAACGCGGACGCAGCGGCCGUCCAUGGCGGCUAGGGUCGAUGUAGGAGGACGAGGGGAGGAGCUCGUGAGGCCUGGCACUGGGAAUGGAGCGGAGGCGGCUAGAUCUAGCGAUUCUGGAGGGGUUGGCGAUGAGCGUCUCCAUGGGCGGUGA
RNAcentral lists this ribosomal RNA (228 nucleotides) under Triticum aestivum (bread wheat). RNAcentral describes it as "partial small subunit ribosomal RNA". The record is from RNAcentral. Lineage: Eukaryota; Viridiplantae; Streptophyta; Magnoliopsida; Poales; Poaceae.